UGCAGUUAGGUGUUAGGAGGUUACACUCCAUGUUUUGGUCGUGGUAGUAUUAGAUGUUGACUGCAG
Molecule: transfer RNA, 66 nt
Filed under: Tanaisia sp. SS-2020
Lineage: Eukaryota; Metazoa; Platyhelminthes; Trematoda; Plagiorchiida; Eucotylidae
Description: tRNA-Gln
Source: RNAcentral